RNAcentral lists this ribosomal RNA (474 nucleotides) under uncultured bacterium. RNAcentral's name for it is "bacterial SSU rRNA". It matches the Rfam family "Bacterial small subunit ribosomal RNA", at positions 355 to 844 of the family's 1533-position model. The record is from RNAcentral.
UGGGGAAUCUUGGACAAUGGGCGCAAGCCUGAUCCAGCCAUGCCGCGUGAGCGAUGAAGGCCUUAGGGUUGUAAAGCUCUUUCACCGGUGAAGAUAAUGACGGUAGCCGGAGAAGAAGCCCCGGCUAACUCCGUGCCAGCAGCCGCGGUAAUACGGAGGGGGUUAGCGUUGUUCGGAAUUACUGGGCGUAAAGCGCACGUAGGCGGACCAGAAAGUUGGGGGUGAAAUCCCGGGGGCUCAACCCCGGAACUGCCUCCAAAACUAUUGGUCUAGAGUUCGAGAGAGGUGAGUGGAAUUCCAAGUGUAGAGGUGAAAUUCGUAGAUAUUUGGAGGAACACCAGUGGCGAAGGCGGCUCACUGGCUCGAUACUGACGCUGAGGUGCGAAAGUGUGGGGAGCAAACAGGAUUAGAUACCCUGGGUAGUCCACACCGUAAAACGAUGAAUGCCAGUCGUCGGGUAGCAUGCUAUUCGGU